UAAACUGUGAAUUUAGUUUCA
This 21-nucleotide non-coding RNA is filed under the name Caenorhabditis elegans. Lineage: Eukaryota; Metazoa; Nematoda; Chromadorea; Rhabditida; Rhabditidae. The record is from RNAcentral.